GUGCUCUCUUCAGCAACACAUAUACUAAAAUUGGAAUGAUACAGAGAAGAAGAUUAGCAUGGUAUCUGUGAAAAGAUGACACACAAAUUCCUAAAGCAUUCCAUAUUUAU
This is a small nuclear RNA of Meriones unguiculatus (Mongolian gerbil), 110 nucleotides long. The record is from Ensembl. Lineage: Eukaryota; Metazoa; Chordata; Mammalia; Rodentia; Muridae.